CUGAACCAGUACCUCAGCUUGAGGAGAGGAGAGCCCAGGUACUGGUUCAGGUGAGUACUGAACCAGAACCUCAGCUUGAGGAGAGGAGAGGAGAGCCCAGGUACUGGUUCAGGUGAGUACUGAACCAGAACCUCAGCUUGAGGAGAGGAGAGCCCAGGUACUGGUCCAGGUGAGUACUGAACCAGAACCUCAGCUUGAGGAGAGGAGAGCCCAGGUACUGGUCCAGGUGAGUACUGAACCAGAACCUCAGCUUGAGGAGAGGUAGUAGUAGUAGCAGCUAGCUAACAGUAGUAGUAGUAGUAGUAGUAGUAGCAGCUAGCUAACAGUAGUAGUAGUAGUAGUAGUAGUAGUAGCAGCUAGCUAACAGUAGUAGUAGUAGUAGUAGUAUAGUAGUAGUAGUAGUAGUAGUAGUAGUAGCAGCUAGCUAACAGUAGUAGUAGUAGUAGUAGCAGCUAGCUAACAGUAGUAGUAGUAGCAGCUAGCUAACAGUAGUAGUAGUAGCAGCUAGCUAACAGUAGUAGUAGUAGCAGCUAGCUAACAGUAGUAGUAGUAGCAGCUAGCUAACAGUAGUAGUAGUAGUAAUAGCAGCUAGCUAACAGUAGUAGUAGUAGUAAUAGC
RNAcentral lists this long non-coding RNA (618 nucleotides) under Salmo salar (Atlantic salmon). RNAcentral describes it as "lncRNA (ENSSSAG00000090493.1)". Lineage: Eukaryota; Metazoa; Chordata; Actinopteri; Salmoniformes; Salmonidae. The record is from RNAcentral.